AUGACAUAGAAGAAAGUCUAUAUUUUUUAUCGAUCAGUAUAAACAGUGGCUUGUGGUUACUGCUGCCCAGUACCAACCUAUGGAUCUUGCCUCACUGUAUGCUAUGAAAUAGGAUUAACUCUAAGAAGAGAAAACAUAAAUUUUCAGACAGAAAGCUACACUUAUCAAUAUGGCCACGAGUAAGGAUACUUCAUCUGCACAAAAAAAGGAGAACAAAUUAACUCACAUCUCCAGCACUACAAAAUAGAGAUGAUCAUUAUCUUCACUGACUAUUUUGGAUCAAGUAGAAGGAUCUUCAGAAAAUACUGCGCCAGCCAAGCAGACUGCCCUGUACUGAUGAGCUGCUGUGUGUUUCCUGAUCUUGAG
Gallus gallus (chicken) is the source of this 366-nucleotide long non-coding RNA. Lineage: Eukaryota; Metazoa; Chordata; Aves; Galliformes; Phasianidae. The record is from Ensembl.